Long non-coding RNA from Sardina pilchardus (European sardine), 1159 nucleotides. RefSeq lists it as uncharacterized. The record is from RefSeq and is a predicted model, not a curated record. NCBI's taxonomy places the organism in Eukaryota, Metazoa, Chordata, Actinopteri, Clupeiformes, Clupeidae. The transcript has 5 exons.
CUUCAAUCUUAAAAAAAACAACACAGCAAUAAAAGCUAAUAAAAUAAUACUCAAUAAAUAAAAGUUUCUGUCUUUUGCUGUUUCCCAAGGCAACAGAAGAUAUGCAUAGACUGGCUGUUACCUCGGCCAUGUAGGUGACCAUGUUGAGAGUGAUGUCGGCGAAGGCCUCGUACAGGUAGCGACACACCACGCUGACCCAGGAGAACGGGUCUCGUGUGUACGAGCGUGUCUUAUACAGCGUCAUCACGUGAGCCAGGGCAUGACCAAACAAAGAGGACCAACUGCCACUGUAGUGCAAAUGCGGUGCAACCAGCUGGGCUACUGCUGAACAACAAAAGAGCGACUGAACGAGAAACACACAACCAGACACACACACAGACACAAACAAUCAUACAAAGAGAGAACACAGAGAAAGAAAAACACCCAAACAGACACACACACACACACACACACACACACACACACACAGACACACGGACACACACACACACAGACACAGAGACACACGGAAACACACACACCUGCACCUCGUCCCCGUGCUCGCCCACCACCUCCACGAGGCGUGAGAGGAUGUCGGAGACGGCGUGGUGCGAGAGCGGCUGGCGCAGGGCCCUGAAGAUCUGGAAGGAGCGUCCGGCGUAGUGGCGCGACGAGCUGCACAGCGCCGUCUGCAGGGCCACGUCACUCAGCGCCUGCUCCAGAUGGAAGUCUGACAUCGGAAGACCCCUUACCUGACUUGGACUCCUUGAAGAUGGACAUGACGUGGCGUAGGAAGUUGGACAGCUGCUCGGCGCUCUUGGAGUUGGGGUUCUUGGGCGUGAUGUCCUCGUGGCACCACAGCGGUCCGAAGGCCCUGAGCAACGACAGGACAGUACUCCAGGCACUGUUCCACCCCCACCACCAACCACAGUCACACCGCCAUUAACUCGCCUCUAACACGCCACACUCAUGCCGCGCUCACGCCACGCUCACGCCACGCUCACAUCAUGCUAUGGUUCACCCUCUCCAUGGGAUUGUAAACAUCAUUUUGGUGUGGUGGGUGUAUAGGUGUUAAUGGGUGUUGUCGUCAGUGUCUUAACAUUAUGACUAAUGUUUUCAGUUAGUGAUAGAUACAGUAUCUAUGGCUGUGAUCAUACAUCAGUCAAUCACACAUCCACAA